ACUUAUCCUCUUCAUUUCUUCCUCCUCACUCUGAAGUGGAGAAAACCAUACAAACCCCAGCCAGAUGAAUACUCCAGGAGGAUUACUCGAUCCCAACGUACGCCAAUCAAAUCACAAAAACCAGCUGCAAAGGAGAAAUAUGCUUGUAAAUGAAUGAUAGUCAAAUGAAAAUUAUCAGUAAAAUAAAGAUGAUAUUGAAGAAGAAGAAGAUGUAAGAAGACAAGUACAGAUCGUUUGACUGGACAUAGAAAUACAAUUGAAUUUAAUUUAAAUCUGUGUUUACGAAGAAGAUGGUGUGAGAUGUGAUGAAUUUUAAGCUGAAUCUAUAGUUUAAUUGAUAUUGUCCUCCACUUAAAAGACUACUGAUUUUUUGGUUUUUCAGGAUUUGAGUGGCUCGUCUAAUCUGAGGUCUUAUCUGGAGUCUGAAGAGGAGAUUUCUUAAUGCUUGGUGCUCAUCAGUGUUUAAGUGCAUUUCUUUGCUUCAUUGGGGACUGUUCUGUUCAUCAAGACUAAACAUAUUUCAAUGCCACAUAAUGAUGUCAAUUGCUUCUGCCAUUGCCCAAUUUAUCUUUUUCACAUAACUGAAAACAUGAAUUUUGAGCUCUAGAAAUGUCCCUGAACUUGAAUUGGCAUUCAACUAUAUUUCUGUAGCGAGCUUAAGUAGGGCAACUGGUAUUACGGAAUAAAGUAUUUUGCAACUCUAGGUUGGUCACUGGCGAUACUAACUUUGAUGAUCUUAAAAUUUGGUGCAGGGGAAGUAUUUAAAUACUUUGAAUUGAUGGUAGUGCAUAUCAUGUGGCUCCUGAAGUGUUUUGACGGCAUUACGGAGCAGAAGCUGAUAUCUGGAGUGUUGAUGUGAUACUGUACAUUCUUCUUAGUGGAGUCCCAGCCACAUGGCAGUGUCACGUCUUGGUUAUGAAUUAUGUAAUAGCGAACUUGAAACCAACACAGGGAUUUCCAGUUUUGGCAGGGAAUCAAAUACUUAGCUUUUUUGUGUUGUUGAAAACGGUGCUCAAGUUGGUGCAAAUAUCUUAUCUUAUCUGGGAAUCUUUUUAGACCAAGCAAGAGCACUUGAUGAACUUAUUCCACACUGGAAACAACAACAGUAUUGUUGUUAAAGGAGUUGUUUGCAAGAAAAAUGUUUCCAACCGGCGGAUGACUUCAAAAAUUGAGAAGCCCCGUUUUCUUAUCCUUGGCGGAGCUCUUGAGCAUCACGGGUGUCUAAUCAUUUAUCAAGUUUUGAUACUCUACUGCAGCAGGAAACAGAUCAUUUGAAGAUGGCAGUAGCAAAGAUAGUUGCUCAUCAUCCCAAUGUCUUACUGGUAGAAAUCAGUUCACGUUUCACUCAAGAAUACCUCUUUGAAAAAAACAUCUCUUGUUCUCAAUAUCAAGAGGCCUUUGUUAGAGCGCGUGUGGCACGCUGCACAGGUGCACAAAUAGUUCCUUCAAUUGAUCAUCUUUCCACUCAAAAGCCGGGUUAUUGUGAAGCAUUCCACGUGGAGAAGUUCCUUGAAGCACAUGGGAGCACUGGGCAGGGAGGAAAGAAAUUGGUGAAGACACUUAUGUUUUUUGAAGGGAGCCUCGAGCCAUUUGGUUGUACUGUUCAAUAAAAUGGUCGCUUGCUUUGGAUAUGAAUCGAUGGAUGUUCACUCAGUAUACCUUCCACCCUGAGGUCAAUCAGGAGUCUAUACAAAAAUGUACGGAGGAGUCUGCAAGUGGUGCAGAAAAGCUUGUAUCAACAAACUCAAAUUCCAAGCAAAGUGGUAAAGAUUCUCCCAGUGAUAAAAAGUGCAAGCUGGAUGGAAACAGUGAGCAGGUGGAUUCUUCACAGAUCAUAACACCACAGGGUCCAGGCCACAUCUUUUAUCAAGCUUAAGUUCAAAUGCCCCGACCAAUCCUUUGGAGACUGAAAAUACAUGUGGGAGGGCAAUCUCAGAGGAUCAGUUUCCGAUUGUAGCGAACCUUGAUGCAGCAUGGACUAGUAAAAACAUGCCAGGGAGUACGAUACUGGAAUUAACGGUGAAGUGGCAGCAGAUUCAUCAACCCAAGGCAAAACUCAUAUGAAGUUGUUAAAGUUGGAAAAGCAUUUCGAAGACCUGGGUAUGGCUGAGGUCACUGAAUCUCAUCAUCCCGUGAAAGGAGCAGAUAACUCAGACGACAACAACACGGGUUGGAUUAGGAUGCCUCUGGGUGGUUUAUGAUUCAUUGAAUCUUCUUCAGUCGUUUCAUUCUUUCGAUGAAACAGAAGCCUCUGAAUCGUUUAGAAAUCUUGGGUCUAUGGAUAGUAGCAUUUUAUCCAUGUCUGGUCCUUGGAGCUCUUUGAUUCCAGUCCGCUCAAGGCGUUGCUUGUUAGAGUGGCAUUCAGUGACAAUGGUCCAUUUGGAAGGUGAAGUAUGUGCAAAGGGGUUUGAAGCCUUAAGGAGGACAUCUGUGCUAGAUUUCGUAAGGUCCCUGAAUCUCAGGGUGGUAAGAGCAACACCUAUUUUACUAAAUCACUGGACGAUCAGUUUAUCAUUAAAGGGUUAACGAAGAGAGAAAUAUGGUCAUUUAUCAAGUUUGCAGCAGCGUAUUUGAAGUUUUUAUCUGAAUCGAUCGCAACAAGAUGCACAACUUGCCUGGCAAAGAUUUUGGGGAUCUACCAGGGGGGACUUGAUUGGAUUUCAUGGUUCCCUGUUUCAAAUUGAAUGCACUCAGAGAACGCUGGACUGAAGCCCGGUGAUCCGUCUUGAUGAAACCUUUCCUGUUGCGGUCCCUAUCCAGAAUACGAUUCAGCAAAUGAUGAAGAUCGUUCUCCUUGGGCCUGGUAAUAAUGCAAUCCCCUGGUACCUUGACAUUAUUAGCGAGGAAGUCUGGGCAUAGUUGAAAAGCUGAAGUCAUUCCAGUUCCAACGGCCAUUCGAAUUGGUUAUCUGUGCCUGAAUCCUCUGCAUUAUCUUUUGAUACAACACUAGAUAUUUCUUCUCAUACAAAUCCAAUUUUACUAGUGCUUCCAUGUCAUGAAUGUGAGGUCUUAGUCUUUUAUCCAUCAAGAUCUUAAUGACAAAUCUGUUUUCUGUUGUAAUGGUAACCAAUCUCUUGACUUGCUCUUUCUACUGCUAACAACUCAUAAAAGUCAAUAUCUUCAUUUGGG
Papaver somniferum (opium poppy) is the source of this 3129-nucleotide long non-coding RNA. RefSeq lists it as uncharacterized. The transcript has 6 exons. NCBI's taxonomy places the organism in Eukaryota, Viridiplantae, Streptophyta, Magnoliopsida, Ranunculales, Papaveraceae. The record is from RefSeq and is a predicted model, not a curated record.